UGGAUGCAGUGAGAUGCUUGGCUGGUUCCUGACUUUCAGGAUAAAUACACAAUGGGAUGAAACCGACCUUCUUCCAGAAUUGAUAUGUCUUGCUUAAUGUCACGGAUACAGAAGAUUAAGUCCUGGGAUAAUAGGUUAUCUAUUUCUAUACUGUAACUUUUAUUGUGUUUUAUAAUUGUAAAUUACAAAAGGCAAAUAUUUGUAUUAUUCAGUGGACCUAAUAUUUUCUUCUGGUUCCAAAGAACCACUGAUAAGGAGGUAGUUUAAAAU
RNAcentral lists this long non-coding RNA (270 nucleotides) under Anser brachyrhynchus (Pink-footed goose). Its description in RNAcentral is "lncRNA (ENSABRG00000022235.1)". Lineage: Eukaryota; Metazoa; Chordata; Aves; Anseriformes; Anatidae. The record is from RNAcentral.